This 4025-nucleotide long non-coding RNA is filed under the name Triticum aestivum (bread wheat). RNAcentral describes it as "long non-coding RNA (TAES_LNC017223)". Lineage: Eukaryota; Viridiplantae; Streptophyta; Magnoliopsida; Poales; Poaceae. The record is from RNAcentral.
AAUGAAUAACAACAAACAACCACAUUCUAAAAUUUACUAAACUUGGAUAUGCACUUUGUUACUUCAUUUUAUAAACUGUUAUAAGCGUUAUAAUUUCUUUCAUUUAUCUGAUUUAGUUGUCCCAAACUCCCAAUACAUAUUUAAACCGUGUUGUGGGCUUUCAAGAAGACAAAUGACAGAUUCACAAUAAUGGGCUGGCCCAAGUUACUUAACCAGACGAUGUUAAUCCACUUACUCACUUCAUGACCAUCCCCUCCUUCUCCAAUCUCUCACUCACCCUGUAGUUUCCACCGCAUCGCCGCUGCUCCUCUGCAUCGGAGGCACGACUUCAAUUGCAAGAUCCACUCCCGCACUCACAAGAUCUACUUCCUCCGAUGUACGCAUCGCGUCACCAGGUCUCACCAGGUCAGGCUACCUCAACCACUUCCAAGUGAACCUUCACAAACAACACAGUAUUACGUCUAAAGGAUAGCAAGUAAAUCCGGAGUAUUACAGUUUUGAGCUAAUGUUUUUUUCCCUAGAGGCGGCAGUGUAAUUAUUAGCUGUCAUUAAAAUCAAUAUUGUCUCAUGAAAAUGCCUACCCUGUUGACCCGCUAAUGGCAAUUACAAAAAUGUUUGGUUCAUUACGCCUAAUUCAAAUUAGCUUCAAUGCCUCAUGUUUACUUCCAUAGCCUGAACUGAUAAAUCACUGAAAUUUCUUCUCUGCUAAACCUAUGUCUACUUCGUAAUCAACACCCGAGUAAUAACAUGGUAGAUCGUCAUACAUGUUUAUCUCCUGUUUUCUUGAUGUCUGAGUAACAGUAUAUGCAUGUGUCCUACAAGCUCAAUGCCCUACUAUUCUGGUUGAUAGCUGACUGUUGAGUCAUUGGCACUAAGGUUGCUAAUAGAAAGGCGCACUUACAGAGAGUCCAUGAACAAGAUAGCAAGAAGAAAACAUAACAUAAAAUAGAGAUGUAAUUCCCCUUUGUACUAUGAUGUAUAUGCUUGUUUAGGGCAAACCAUAUAUCUUCAGAAAUUUGUACCUUAUCAGCUAUUUGAUUUGGUUACCGCAGUUCGGUCUUUUCCCUCUUGUGAGUUCUGCACCAUCCUUACAUGAUUCAUCAACAACCACCUAGAAACGAUCAGCAGAAAAACAAAAUCAAAGUGAAAUCAAAUGGAAUCGCAUGUAGGUAGUAGCGAAGUACGAUAUAUGCCACUCCAUUGGCACUUUGCCUGUACACCAUGCAACAUCAAGUGAGGCAUGAUCAAUAAAUUGAUCAGAUACCAACAUCAUGUAUUAAGCACAAAUCAUGAAUCAAUACCAGAGGACCAAAUAGUGUUACCACCUCUGUACUAACAACCAAACAUUUUUUUAGAACAGGGAGGCUCUAACAACCAACAUUUUAGCAUGUCAUUUGUUUACCAAGCAAAACCACAAUAGCUAAAUCUCCCAAGAGCAUACUUUCGGAGAAGCACAGUCCAGAUCAUACACCCACAAAUAAAUGGCUUGGUUUUCAACUGGCAUAAUGAUUUCCUCCCUACCGCAAGCCUCUGCCUACAACUUUAAACUGAACCAUCAAGUUAGCAUGGCAUUUUUUAUAGAAGUAUUGCUAUAGCAGUCUAAUUUCCCAAGGGCAGGAGUCUAAUAUACUUUCAGAAUGUGCAGUUCAGAUCAUGCAGUUAGAAAUAAACUUUAUGGUAGUAACUGUACAGGACUUGCUAUUCAAUUAUCUUUUCUAGUACCCAUUUGGAACACGACACAAUGAUUAGCUCCUAUUAUGUAAGGUCACACUAUUUAAAUCGAGAAUUGCUCGCAUUUCAUUAUUUUUUUAGUUAUCCUAGUAGUGUUUACUUGCACAUCAGGAGUAUCACAGUUACAACUAAAGAGGCAUUGUCCUAUCAUAAUUUAAAUAUCAGAAGCUGACAGCAGUAAUGUAAAUACAUAUGGUCGAGACAUAAUUUUGUAGCAAAACAUGUCAGAGAGGCAAUAGAUUACAUGUGAAGGCACCCACACAAGAUUAUUACAAGAGCAGACACAAGGAUCAGAACACCAAGUAACAAUUAGAAUCUGUAUUGCGAGCUCCCUUCCCCCAUUCUAUUUUUGCUUGACAUUCAAACAUAGAACAAAGUAAUUCUUUUUAAUUUCCAAAGCACAUGUGAAUAUGACAAUACAGCUUGUCAAACCAGUACAUUGACUCAUAGCUCUGUGUCUAACAUUCAAAUCUAAAAUUAAGUAACUCUAUUUUGUUCUUAAUGAAAACAAAAAGGACCUCAGAAAGCCCAAGUAGCACCAAAAAAAAUAUAACACGGGAGAUUAAAAAAAACACUGAAGCAUCAGAGUAGGGAGUAAUUAUCAAAUAGAAACAAAAGGAAAAGAAAAGCAAGAAGCUCACUUCCCCCAUCUGUUUUUGUUUUCUUUCACUUAUAUACACCAGACCAAUAGACAAGCACUUUAACUAUAAAAAAACAUAAUUCCUAAUUCAAGAACACAGUUGAAUAUUGGAGCACAACAUACUACUCUUCGUAAAGUAAAACCAGGCAUGUGAAGUCUCAAUUGACGGACGCUGCUUAGGAAGGAUUCAAUUAUGCUAUUGUUAAGUAGGUACAUUACAAAGCCUGUUCAUGCUAACAGUAGUAGAUUCUUGUAAUCACACUUCAUGUUAUAUUUUCUAAAUAAAAUAAAUGAUCUCGCUAUAGCAGAAAACAUACAUGCAUAUAGCUGACUGAAUUACCUCGCAAAGCUUCUGUUCUUGCAUUUCUACAUUGCCCUUGGUGCUGAAAAUAUAUAAAACAUCAGGCUAAUGCUUAACAAGAUUUUGAUAGUUCAGGUGAUAGGAACUAUCUACACAAAUAUAGGAUUAUGCAUAUGGAUAGUUAGCAUGCAGUAGUCAGUUUCACAGGAUGUUGCUGAUGAGCAUCCUAUUGCUGCCCUUGUUCUCAUAUAUCGGAACGUACACAGAUCCACCAAGCAGAACCAUCAGCUUGCUGUCAUUCAUUCCUUGAGAUCCACAGCAACAUAAUUUGGCACACAUAUUGGGAUUACUAACAAGCUGACCUCCAGAUCCUUUCUGGAUGCACCAAUACUCAGAUUUUUUUUCUUAAAAGAAAAGAAUGAAAACUAAGAAUUCUUAGUGGGAACUACUAAUAUGAGAAGUUAUCUGAUACAUAACACAAUUACCACUCGAUAUAGGAUAAAUUGUUCCAUUGGGAGUAUCUUCUAGCUUUUUUACUUUCUUCUGAUCCAAAGUAGGCGCUAGGACAAAGUAAAUCUUUAAACACUUUUGUAGUGGAUUCAAAACAAUAAGAAGUCAUUUAACUGGCAGAACAUAGCAUUAUGAAAAUAUAUAGCAAAGUCAUUUUUGUGUAUGCUAGUUGCAACAUCGACACAACACAUAUUCUAGCAAAUAGACCUAUGUUCAACACAUUCUACCACAAAGUGCCUGUCCAAAGAUCCUACAUUUUGGUACAGAGGUUGUACGUCACAAACCAUCUAUCCUAUCAUCAGUGCAUGCAGUAUGCAGUACACCAUUUUCCAUAGCUGGAAAGAGACCAUACAUCAUAAUCUGGUCACAAUAUGUAGACAGAAGUGGUUAUCUGGACAAAAUAGGGAGGCACACCUUCACAAAACAGUUCUUAGUAAUUAUAGAAUUAACUGAAGUAAAAUCAAGCAUGUAUGUGUGCUCACUGAAAUGUGUAUGCACCAUUGCCGAUUGAAACAAGAUACACACAGCCGAUUGAUAACCGACAGUUGAAUUAUUGGCGCUCGAAUGUAUGUAUGUGUCCUUGCUCGCCUCUUGUAUGUAUAAAGGACCAAAAUGAUAGUUUGUGUAGUGUAGACCGCUCAAUCGUAAGCAUCUUGUGUGCACCUGAUACACAGUAUACAUAUGAUUAGUACAUUUUAUCAGCAAUAGAUGUGCACAUGAGCUGAAAACAACUUCGAAGACUGCAAGAGUAUAUAAAACCUGUAACUGGUAGCCACAAAAAGAAUUGUCUUUUCUACCGAACAGGCCAGUUCGCUAUGACCAGUUCACGCUCCACGAUUCAGA